Long non-coding RNA from Lactuca sativa (garden lettuce), 977 nucleotides. RefSeq lists it as uncharacterized. NCBI's taxonomy places the organism in Eukaryota, Viridiplantae, Streptophyta, Magnoliopsida, Asterales, Asteraceae. The record is from RefSeq and is a predicted model, not a curated record.
ACUUUAAUCUGGUAAGUAAUAGUAUAUAACACUAGUUUGGCCCAAACAAUUCAACCCAUUACACUAAUUUUCUCGACACAAACGUGAGAUGGAACUGGAGGCGAGGCGGGAGCAGGAGCGUGAAAUAAUUGAAGCCGCCUAAAACCUAGGGAGCUGUAAUCAACAUUUACGUUGGUUGAUUAUAAAUCGACGCCUAGAAAACUAACGAUGUAGAAUAUUGAAGUGUCGAAUGUCUAAAUCGACCGAAUCCCAAUUUCUAAAUCUGAUUUCUUCUACUCUUCUAUUUCUAAUUCCCAUUUGGCGAUUCAUGUGGGUUGAAGACGUACUAAGAUUGUCAAUCGUCUAUUUCUGGAACCCAAUUCUGAUUUCACCUAUUCUCCUCUGUUUUUAUCGCUAGUCUGAUUCGGUAUUUUGGUGAUUCCCGAUUUGUAUGAGUUGGAGUUUGAACUGUUAAGAUAAGGAGGUAUUUCGUUUGCUUAAGAGGAGUUCGAAUAUGUACUGAAUUGUUUAAUUCAAAAUCAGGAAUUCACAGUUUUGGUUUCUCAGCUAAGUAGUUACAUAUGAUGAUUUAAUGAUAUUCGUUUGAUAUUUGGAUUUAUUAAUUUGUUGAAAAAAUAUGUAUUAUUGUUUGUUUUGCAGAUAUUAUCGAUUCUUUCGGCAUAAAAUGUUUUUUAAUUGUGGAUCUCAUUCUAAUAUGUUAUACUCUAGUUUUGUCUAGGAAGUGGGAAUUGCAAUUGGAAGCACUCAAGGUUAAUCCAGGAUCCCUAAUCACCAACCGAAAAUAGAUUUGUACUUGGAAAUUGGAGAUUUGCACUUGGCAGACGAUUUUUUUUGUUAUUUGCUUCAACGUUUCUUUUGCUUAUGAAAUUUGCUAAUACUUAUUAUGUUUUAGUUUUUGUAUUUUUUAAUGAGACUAGACUGUUUAGUAUCUAAUACAAUCAUUUUUAAUAUUGUGUAUACUUUUUUUUCCCUACAAA